Egretta garzetta (little egret) is the source of this 2205-nucleotide long non-coding RNA. RefSeq lists it as uncharacterized. The record is from RefSeq and is a predicted model, not a curated record. NCBI's taxonomy places the organism in Eukaryota, Metazoa, Chordata, Aves, Pelecaniformes, Ardeidae. The transcript has 2 exons.
GCCACGCCAGCCCCACGCCGUCCCAGGCGGUGCCAGCCCCAUGCCGCGCCGGCCCCACGCUGCCACACGCCGCCGGCCAGGCUGGCUCAGCACGGCCAGCGCUCCAGCGAAGACCUCUGCGACACCCACCGGGAGCUGCAGUGCAGCACUGCGUGUAUUUGACAAGCUGAGUUCGACACUCAGUGUGCAGAGUGUCAGUUUGUCAAAUACCCCAAGUGAGGCAUCUGCUGAGCGACGCGGCGGCACGCCCGGGGGGACCGGCUCCUUCCUCCCACUCGGGCAGGAGCCCUUCUGUCUGCAUUCUGUGCCUCUCCAAAAACCCAGCGAGGUACCGAACAACCCGUCCCAUCGUCACCAAAUGCCUGACUCCGAUCCUGUGCUGUCAGGUUUCCCUUCCACCCCAAUUUCGGAAGCGCCUAUCGGGGUACUCCUCCUAAUGGCAAAUCUGUACAGACGUGGUGCUGGUACGGUUCCUCUGUGUUGUGGAGGCAGAGAAUUGGGCCCUGGCUCCUUGUUCUUUGCAGCCAGAGACAAUGCUGUUCUCUUCCACAGCAUUAACUACCCAGCUGUUAAUUAACAGUCAUGCUCAGUUAACAAGGAGUCUGGCAACUAUAGUCACAACAUAAGACGGGUAAGGGCAGCAUUAUCCAUAAUACAGAAUCUUUUCUUUGGCCACGUAGGAAUCCUUUUUUAUUUGGAUUACAAACUAAUGAGGCUGCUGAUGAAUUCCCCUCUAUCCCAUCAGGCAGUGAAAAAUGCACGUUUGCUCAAUCCAUUUUUAAAUUAGGCUGUGGAGUCCCUGCCUUCUCCUUGAAGCCUUGCUGUUUGGAGAGGACUCCUCGGUUUUGGGUGGUUAUUCCUAGUCAGCACUUGCAGCACGGUUGCCUAUUGCUUUUCUGCUAUUUAGUUAAAGUCAUUCCCGCUAAAUCAUCCCACUUGAAGACCUAAUGACUGGUAAGCAUUUUUAACAGCUGACUGACAGCACGUCAGAUCUGCAGGGCUCUCAGGGUGGGGGGAAUGACCGAGGGUGAGUGCACAGCCCAGUUUGGCAAAUCAAGCUCUCUGAAAGCAUUUGAUAUUGAAAACUCAGAAACUACAAAAAAAAUCCCAAGACCCUUCUGACUCAUUUUAGGACAGUUCCACCAGCAAAUUUUGCAAUAUUUGAGAAUAUUGGUAAACUUUAAUGCUUUUUUUUGUUGCAGCUAUUUCUUGGUAAAUAUUUUGAAGAAGUUGGAUCUUGUACAAAGCUGGGGCCAGUGGAUGUAUAUCACCACCUAAGUAAAUGGUGUUCUGCUUUUUGAAUAGGUCCUAGUGGUGGGGCUUGUUGUGCGCUCUGGACAAACACAGUCCCAACUCCUUAUGACUCAGACUCCCGUGGUCUCUCUCGAGCACCUUCUCAUGACUCACGGACGUCACCCUGAUCUUUAUCACGGAGCUUAGCUUCAAACGAGAACAAAGUCUAUGAUUUCAGGGUUGGUUUGGUCCCCAGUGGAUCCUUAAUGCAGCAGGCAGCUGAGUCAGCCCCAACCCUUUCUGCCAUCACAGACCUCAAGGUUUCAACAAACCAAAGCUCUUCUGCACCACGGCUACCCAAGAAUUCAUUUAUGCUUCAUGACAUUGUCUUCUCAUGCAUUUCAAGCUUUUACUUUCAGUAGAUUUUGCCCUUCCACUUUUUAAGUAUCUCCCCCCUCCCUCCAGUUCCUUCUAGAUGACUGGGGGGAAGGGGAAGAAGGUUAACCCCUUCCUCUCUUACAAGAACAAAUACCAAAAUAACAUGGGACAGACUUCUCCCAGACUUCCUCUCCCUUCUCCCUGCAGAGAACGGCAGGUUCAGAAGGGCUCUGACGGCCGGGGCAAACCCAGCAAGCGUGAAAGCCGACAGGUCCCCACUGCUGUAUGUGCGCUUCAGUUGCUCAGAAGCAAGGGGAGCCGCAAGUCUCAUGACAUUGUGCUGGCCACCAGAAAUAGCGCGGGUUUUGGAGGCAGUGUAGUUUCGGAGCGGAAGCUGAGGUUUCCCUUCUGUGCUGGAGCAGAGCUGGCACUCGGCAGAUGACUCAUGUCACCGGGCGAGGGACCAGCGCAAGGGAAGGAGAAAUUCCUUUGCUUGACGGUGAUACAACACAGCACAGCCCUCCCUGACCGUCAGAAGAAAAAAAUGUUCUGUUUCCAACAGGUUUGACUGCCAAACGCAACAAAAAUAUAAAU